RNAcentral lists this ribosomal RNA (1005 nucleotides) under Triticum aestivum (bread wheat). RNAcentral describes it as "partial small subunit ribosomal RNA". The record is from RNAcentral. Lineage: Eukaryota; Viridiplantae; Streptophyta; Magnoliopsida; Poales; Poaceae.
UCAGGGUGGACACGGUCCGGGCCGGUCCGGUCCCUGACCGAGCCUCCCUUUGGACCGGCCGAAACUGGCCCGGACCGGACCGGACCGAGCUUACAUGCGGUCCUGUUUCACAGGACCGGACCGGCUGCACCUCAGCUCGGUGCGGACCGAGGGGACCGACUGGACCGUGUACAGUUUGUGUGUGGGAGUGCACUGGGAGCCUUUUUAGUACUCAUUUGACAGCAAAUUCGAACAUAUAGAUUAUUAGGUUGCAAAAGAGGUUCAAAUGGAAGAAAAAUAAGCAAGGUUGCAAGAAAAACAGCACAGGACGGUGUCUAACUGAAGAAAGUUCAGAGGGAGUGAACAAAUACCAACUGAAACUGAAGAAAGUUCAGAGGGAGUGAACAAUUACCAACUGAAGAAAUUUCAGAGAGAAGAAACAAUUACAAAUUGACAGCCACGACAUGCGGGACUUCAGGUGCACGUGCAGCAGCUCCAUCCCCCGCGUCCUCCAGCUCCGUCCCCGCGUCCUCCAGCUUUGUGCUCGACGGCGGCUAACCGGUGAGGAGGUGGUCGAAGACGGGCAGGUAGAGACGGCGACGGUCGACGACGGCGAGCAGGUGCAGCCGUGCAGACACGAAGCUCCCUCCUUGGCUCCUCCACUCCUCCUUUCACCGCGUGCAGGUGCAGACAAGGAGGUGGUGGUCGACGUUGGCAACGGCGGCCGGUGGAGGCGGCGCUCCCAGCCAGGAGGAAAGGGGAUCGGCGAAUUGGGGGAGCGAGGGCCUCUGCCCUAGCAUCUUAUCGACUCGCUAUCCCUGCACUGGACUACUGGGCUAUGCGCCUGGGCCAAAUGUCGCGGUCCGACCGAGCCAGCUCGGAUAAAAACAGGACCGGACCGACUUGUUUUCGGGCCUGUUUCUGUAGACCGGACCGGCCAUUUUUAUCAGCGGGCCAGGACCGAACGGUCCGGUCCUUAGCGGGCCGCGAGCCGGGCCGAAAGCUCGCUCGCCACGUCCAGGCUGA